AGUGAACGCUGGCGGCAGGCCUAACACAUGCAAGUCGAACGAACAUUUCGGGGUUAGUGGCGGCCGGGUGAGUAACACGGGGGAACGUGCCUUUAGGUGCGGAAUAACUCAGGGAAACUUGUGCUAAUACCGAAUGUGACCUUCUGGGGAAAGAUGUAUCGACCGUAGAGCGGCCCGCGUCUGAUUAGCUAGUUGGUUGAGGUAAAGGCUCACCAAGGCGACGGUCAGUAGCUGGUCAGAGAGGAAGUUCCGCCACAUUGGGACUGGGACACAGCCCACACUCCUACGGGAGGCGGCAGUGGGUAAUCUUGCGCAAUGGGCGGAAGCAUGACGCAGCCAGGCUGCGUGAAUGAUGUAGGUCUUAGGAUUGUAAAAUUCUUUCACCGGGGACGAUAAUGACGGUACCCGAAGAAGAAGCCCCGGCUAACUUCGUG
This 434-nucleotide ribosomal RNA is filed under the name uncultured bacterium. RNAcentral describes it as "partial 16S ribosomal RNA". It matches the Rfam family "Bacterial small subunit ribosomal RNA", at positions 29 to 507 of the family's 1533-position model. The record is from RNAcentral.